CUUGUGCAGCCAGAAUUUUGUUCAUAAAGCCUUUGCCUCUACCAAUGUUUUCAAGAGUUCUACCUAUUUUAUCUUCCAGGAUAUUGGAUUCAUAAUAUCCCAUAGUUAUUGCAGGCUGAGCAGGUCUGCAAUCUCCUGAACAAGUGUACAGCAAAGACUAAAUAAAAAGAGGCAAAUGGAAUGAUUUCAGGGCUCCAGGAGGAUCAAAGCCCUCUCACAGAAUUCAAGAUUCUCUUGGGGCUAAGACCAAGACGUUCUCUGGGUGGCCUGUAUUUAUUUGGUUAUCAGAAGAAGGGAGACAGGGUCUCACUAUGAGACCAAGGCCAGCCUCAAACUCCUGGUGAUCCUGCCUCAGCCUCCCAGUGCCUGCCCAGCU
Molecule: long non-coding RNA, 376 nt
Filed under: Chinchilla lanigera (long-tailed chinchilla)
Lineage: Eukaryota; Metazoa; Chordata; Mammalia; Rodentia; Chinchillidae
Description: lncRNA (ENSCLAG00000028217.1)
Source: RNAcentral